CCCCCCUAUUCAUUCUACCCGACGUCUUGCCAAACAAAACCAUGCUCGGCGACUCAACCUCGCCUCUCCAACCGAACCUCGUGCAUCAACGAUUGUGAUUGGCCUCGGCCCUCAUGCCUAGGUGACUCCGACACAUGCAUCUCCGCCCCACCAAUGCUCCUCCUCACACUCCCUUAGCGCUGUUGCCGCCUGCUUCAACGCGCCCUAAGGUUAAAUCGGUCCAUGACCAAUUGUUGGCUCCAUAGAAGCUCGUGGAAUGACACACAACUACAUUUUUAAGCUCUGAGUCUGUCUCAACCCUUCUCUCAGUACGUUUUUUCUGCGG
This 325-nucleotide long non-coding RNA is filed under the name Sorghum bicolor (sorghum). RNAcentral's name for it is "long non-coding RNA (SBIC_LNC001623)". The record is from RNAcentral. Lineage: Eukaryota; Viridiplantae; Streptophyta; Magnoliopsida; Poales; Poaceae.